This 253-nucleotide ribosomal RNA is filed under the name uncultured Parabacteroides sp. RNAcentral describes it as "partial 16S ribosomal RNA". It matches the Rfam family "Bacterial small subunit ribosomal RNA", at positions 524 to 776 of the family's 1533-position model. Lineage: Bacteria; Pseudomonadati; Bacteroidota; Bacteroidia; Bacteroidales; Tannerellaceae. The record is from RNAcentral.
UACGGAGGAUGCGAGCGUUAUCCGGAUUUAUUGGGUUUAAAGGGUGCGUAGGUUGUUUUUUAAGUCAGCGGUGAAAGUUUGUGGCUCAACCAUAAAAUUGCCGUUGAAACUGGAAGACUUGAGUGUGUUUGAGGUAGGCGGAAUGCGUGGUGUAGCGGUGAAAUGCGUAGAUAUUAGGAGGAACACCAGUGGCGAAGGCGGCCUGCCGGGCUUUUACUGACGCUGAAGCACGAAAGCGUGGGUAUCGAACAGG